Long non-coding RNA from Stylophora pistillata, 382 nucleotides. The record is from RefSeq and is a predicted model, not a curated record. NCBI's taxonomy places the organism in Eukaryota, Metazoa, Cnidaria, Anthozoa, Scleractinia, Pocilloporidae.
UCUGCGUCAUUCAUUGUAAAAAUCAUUUUUCAUCUCUAGAAAUCCUCAUAUCAUGAAAUACUAAUUUAAAGACUUAUUUCCUCAGGUUUUUAAGUUUUAAUAGACUCUCCGAUAUUUCAAGACAAACUUUUGCCGGGCUUAAAUGUCUGAAGCUUCUGAUGCUUUCAGGCAACAACCUAACCUCUAUUCGUGGAGACAGUUUUGCUGACACUUCUUUGGAAAUGUUGUUCCUUCAUGGCAACAGAAUAAAGCGAAUCGCUGAUAACGCUUUUAAUUACCUCAAGAACCUGGAAAUAAUGACACUGUUUUCCAACCCCAUUGAGUCACUUCAAAAUGGGAUGUUUAAAGGAGUACCCACCAACGUCCAACUGUGAGUACAUGC